AUUUAUAUAGUUUAAAUCAAACAUUACAUUUUCACUGUAAAAAUAAAGGCCUCACUUUUAUAAAUG
This 66-nucleotide transfer RNA is filed under the name Isoperla bilineata. RNAcentral describes it as "tRNA-Glu". Lineage: Eukaryota; Metazoa; Arthropoda; Insecta; Plecoptera; Perlodidae. The record is from RNAcentral.